This is a long non-coding RNA of Folsomia candida, 1179 nucleotides long. RefSeq lists it as uncharacterized. The record is from RefSeq and is a predicted model, not a curated record. Lineage: Eukaryota; Metazoa; Arthropoda; Collembola; Entomobryomorpha; Isotomidae. The transcript has 3 exons.
AAUUGUACAAUUACAUAAAUUCUUCACGUAAAGCUCAAUAUAUCACGCAAUUCAAACAAUUCGAUCAAGUGCUGUCAGGUUGAUCGAAUACGUAAUCAAACGUGUAAAAUUCUGCAGAUCAGAUACAUAUAUCUAUUUCCGUGGACAAUUUUGAACUUCUCAAUUUGUACGAAAUAACGUCCAAAACGCCAUGGUCCGCUAUGCCUUUUCCACCAUGUGGCAAAAACGGACCCCAAUUUCUACCCGUUUAUAGUUAUCAGACCUUUAAUGGAAGCCACUCAUCCAGCGUAAACCCAAACGGAUAAUUCAGCCAAUUUGGGAAAUCCCGCCGCUAUAAAUGUGUACAUAUUGAUGUAGACCUCCAUCACCGAUGUUUCAAUCCGUUAGCGUCCCCUCAUUUUCAUUUCGACCAUCGUCCAAGCAUGGCAUCGCGUGAUUUCAUAAUUCGAAAAUUAUCCCGUUCCACCAGCAACAAGUAAUGUCGUCCCUAAUUUGUACUUUUAACUUUAUAUUGCAUACAUAAUUUAGCCUAAUUUUGAAAGUGGAAUAUGUCGAAAUUUGUGCCAUUGACACAAGAGUUUAACCGAUGUACAGACCCGUUGCUCUGUUCUGGACCGGAUAAAAAGUCCUCUUUUGUGGGCAGGAAGGAUCGUGCACGCGCUCUUCUCUACUUUUGCACGGAGUCAUGUGAAAUUUUAAACUUUGUCCUAGAGAUGCGAAAUUUGGCAUGCACAUGAACCAACAUAUGCUGCAUCAUAAUAUAACAUCAAUUCCCGUUCCGUUCGCUAUAAAUUUUUCAGGAAAAAUCAAAAACCAAGUGAAAUAUGGGUGACUAUUUGAUUGUAAUUAUAUUUCCUGAAAUUUGGGAACCGCAUUUGCGACACAUUUUGCAACAAAAUUUGAACGAAAUCGAAGUUAGAAUAUGAGUAAGGAGUUUAUGUUCAAUAUUACAACGGAUUUCUGAUAUGACCUGUUGCCAAUUCGGACUUUUGGAAUUAAUGCAAGGUUUUGUUACCUAUUCGGAAUUUUGUUAAUUCUGGGGUGACUUGUUGACUAGACCUUCUAUAGAUACAUACAUACAUAUUAGGAUACAGUAUCUACACAGUGUAUUGUGUAGAUAUGCGCAUGUGUCAUGGAUUUCUCAUGGAAUAGAUUGCAUAUUAUGUUGUGAGCAUUCCA